CUGCACAACUCCAGGGAGAGUGUGCAUUGGUUUUCAGCAGUCCACUCCAUAAUCAUAUGAAUUGGAGAGAUAUAACUUGGACAUCUCUGGAGAGAUGCAGAACUGAGUGGAUGGGCAAGUGCUAACUGAAGGCACAGUGAAGCAGUUACUUCAAGGAGCAGUUGUUGGGAGGCAGAAAAACCAGCCUUGCAUUGGAGGACAGAGCUGUGUGCAAAGCAGACAGACGAUCCUGAACCCCUGA
This 241-nucleotide long non-coding RNA is filed under the name Pogona vitticeps (central bearded dragon). Its description in RNAcentral is "lncRNA (ENSPVIG00000001798.1)". Lineage: Eukaryota; Metazoa; Chordata; Lepidosauria; Squamata; Agamidae. The record is from RNAcentral.